UUUUUUUCCCUUUGCUGAAGUCCUGUUGAAUAAAUGUGAGUAUUAACUGCUUCCUGUAGCCCUCUACAUGCAUGUCACUUACAGCUGUCGAGGGAUUAACCCCAUCCCUCCGGAUGCAUGCCACUCACAUCCAGUAGCCAAGUGGUUAUCCCCUGUCCCCUAAAGCCAUGUGACCCAAAUCCAACAGCCCAAGGGUUAACCACAUCCAUCUGCAUUGUAUGCAUGUCGUAUAGUAUCCUCGGCCCCAAGCAUACAGAGGGUCUUCAUAUGCUGCAAAUAAGGAGUUAAUCUAAGCUCUGUGAACACCUGUCACUCCCAGCCAGCAGCCUAGGGGUUAACUGCUAACCAUGUUACAGCAGGGCCACAUGGGACCCCUUGCUGCACGUUGUCGCAUUCUGAAUAUCAUUAAUGUUUAAAAGCAUUUGCUGCUGAACUCACCCACUCACUACUGCAGAUGUACUGCUCCUAGCAUAGAAUGCCAGGCCUGAUACCCACUCGUACCCCUCAACUAUAGGGAAUUCCAGGCCCUAAUAUCCACGCACAUCCCUAAACGGAUCACUGCAGAGAUGCCAGUAUUGGUUCUCCCUCACACACCUAAACUGCAGGGAACGCAAAGCUCUAGUACCCAAUCACAUCCAUAAAACUGCUGGGAAUGCCAGGCUCUGCUAACUUAGAGCUCUAAACUGAUCAAUACAAAGAUGCCAGGCCCUCAAACCACUUUAACUGAUUAACGCAGUAAAUAGGAAGCCUUUGUGCCUAUUUAUACACAUUUCUCUGAUACAUGUGAAAUGCUAGGCCCUCAUUCUUUGCACAACCUUUUAGCCGAUCGAUACAGGGGUGCCACCAUUUGCACCCACUCACACCCCCACUUUGAUUUAUGCAGGCAUGGCAGAACCUCGCCCCUUUUCAGUGCUGACAAUACCAGCUAUAUCAGACCAUGAUGACAAAACUGAACUAUGCAUUUAAUGCUAAUACCCCUUAAUUGAUAAAAAUGCAAAGCUAUGGUGCUUCCUUAUUUAAUCUGUGUAUGAUUGCUAGCUCUUUGUAGGCACUCACACCCCCUUUUCUAAACUAUGCAGUAGAUUCUUGGCCCUCCAACCCACUGAAGGUCUCACGCCCCCCUUGCCUGGGUCAUUGAAGUCAAGACUUGGCACCCACUUGUACCUAUACCACCUACUCCGAUCUGACCGAGAUUGGUAGGGCCUGGUACCCAGCUCUUCAUAUCUAAGGGGAAAAAAAGGCAUGACUGUUGGGAGAAGUGCGAGGCAGGGAGGGGAUCUGACGUUGGAUUGAAAGCUUGUGUAUAUAAUGGUGUGUUUCCAUCACACAGGUCUGGAAUCAUGUGGUGAUAUUUCCUGCAGCACUAACACGAGGAGAAUCUGCAGAGAUCAGCGAAGGGGGAGAGCUGGUGGAUCACCUCUGGAUGGGAGUCUUGCUAGCUGCUGGAGCAUCUGCCUGCGUCAUCAGCUUCUGCAGGGGAAUCUGUAAGUUUUCGUACUUGCUGGGAUGA
Molecule: non-coding RNA, 1510 nt
Organism: Pelobates cultripes (western spadefoot toad)
Lineage: Eukaryota; Metazoa; Chordata; Amphibia; Anura; Pelobatidae
Source: the annotation of a GenBank genome assembly